Molecule: ribosomal RNA, 331 nt
Filed under: uncultured eukaryote
Lineage: Eukaryota
Description: partial 18S ribosomal RNA
Rfam family: Eukaryotic small subunit ribosomal RNA
Source: RNAcentral
CCCUUAGAUGUUCUGGGCCGCACACGCGCUACACUGUUCGACGCAGCGAGUCUUAACCUUGACCGAAAGGUUUGGGUAAUCUUCAGCAAAGUCGAACGUGAUGGGGAUCGAUCAUUGCAAUUAUUGAUCGUGAACGAGGAAUUCCUAGUAAGUGCAAGUCAUCAGCUUGCGCUGAUUACGUCCCUGCCCUUUGUACACACCGCCCGUCGCUACUACCGAUUGAAUGGUUUAGUGAGAUCUCUGGAUUGACGCUGGCUAGGGGGCGACCCUUGGCCAGGCUGUCGAGAAACUGCUCAAACUUGAUCAUUUAGAGGAAGUAAAAGUCGUAACA